Molecule: long non-coding RNA, 2046 nt
Organism: Prionailurus viverrinus (fishing cat)
Lineage: Eukaryota; Metazoa; Chordata; Mammalia; Carnivora; Felidae
Exons: 4
Source: RefSeq, a predicted model, not a curated record
UCCACCUGCACUCAGUCACAUGGCUGCACCUGACUGCAGAGGAUGCUGGGAGAGGUGGAAGGAGGAAGAGGAAAGGGGGUGGUGAACAGCCAGCCGAUCGCCCCCGCACACGGAGGCCCCGAGGUUGCCUGCGCGACACCGUUAGGCAUCCCCGGCGGACGGAGGUCGCUGGGAUCCGCUGGGUGAACACGCCAACCUCACUGCAGCGCCCCCUGCGCCACGCUGCCUGGAAUUGCGCCUGGAACAGCGCAGCGUGGGAAGCCCACUCCUCCCCUCGCUCAGCAAACCCCGGCAGCAGCGCCUGAGAAGACGUGCGUCCCGCCCCCCACACCACCCCCCGGGGUGGGGGGGGCUUUCCGUGUCCCUGGAACCAACAGACCCGGGAAGAAACUGCAGAACGGGGAGCGGUGUCAGAAAUGCACCCAGCGCCCCCGUGCCGCAGGGAGUCGCCUCAGAGCCGCGGCUCAAGGCCCACGGCGGAGGAGGCCACUCGAGAAAGAUCUCCACAAAGCUCGAGAAAGAUCUGCCCGCGGCUCCGCCCCUCACCGCUGCCGGCCCGGCCCGCCCCGCCUCUCCGCAGGAACCGGGUUCUCUGCGCUGCAGAUUUCGUGCAGCGCUCCCUCCCCUGGGCUGGCCGCCCGCAGAGGGACCCGGCCACCAAGGUGACUUAGCGGCAGAAAUUGGUGCUCCUGGAGUUCUGUGAGCUGCUUCCAGAUGACCAGUGAAAGGCACGUGUCUGAGACAGAAGGGGUGCGCGAGCCUGACCAGAGGAGAUCGGGUUCCAUCCGAGGAGGCACAGACCCUCUUCAGCAGGUGAAAGACUGAAUCAGAACCCGCAGUCUGGCUUACGGUGCCCAUCAGCCGAGACGACCGUGGGAUACAGGGCACCAGAAACACCGCAGGAAUGCUCACAACCAAGCGAAGUGGGACGCCAGGUGCCCCGCCGGAGCAGAUGUGAAGUGUGGGCGCGGCAAAGUCCGCGAGGGCAGCGCCGAGGGCCCACGCCGCUCGUCAGGGCGCCGGAGCGUUUGGGGGCUUGGCCAACGCCGCGGGAGUGACGGCACCUGCCGGGCCGCGGGUGCCGGGAACCAGGGAGAAGCCAACUACCGAAGACAGCGACAGUGUGCGAGGACCCGCGCCACCUACCGAAGCGCCUGGGGCCGGCAAGGGCCGCCUCGCGUCGCAUACGGGCGGUGCUGGAGGCGGCGAGGACACCGGACCUGCACACACUUGCCGAGUCUCACGGGAAUCCACCACUUGGACCACUUUUUAUUGAUAAACAGGUACACACGUUAAAAGCCUCACACCGAAGCCGGACACACGCGCCCACCGCGGACAACGGAUGUGCAGACACAGUGCGACUCCUGGCGGCUCGCCGCGUCUGGGCCCCUGGGGCCUGUCCCUCUGGUGGGGACACAGCCCCUGCCCCGGGGCUCUCAGUCCGUCUCCGGGACAUGACAUCCCUCUGCUUUGCUCGCCCGGCUACAGCUGCAUGUCUCGGGUAGGUCCCCGGUGGAUCUGCGUCAGCAGGGGCAGAAGCCUGACUAGGACAGGGUGCGGGUUCGUUAAAACCCAAACCCAAACCCAAACAGCUCAUGGGUGAACGGAAAGGCGUAGAAGCCGGGAGGGGAACACCGGCUCUCGUCAGUGUGCAGGCAGGCUUGGAGGAGAGCCUCGGGCUUUGUCAAGGACCGCUUCGUCCGGAGUCCCGCAAAACAGGUUACAGACCGGGCAAGUUUAAGGCGAGUCCCCACGGAGGGGAGCUGUUUGCUUUCUGAUGGAAGUUUAAGCUCUGCACCAAAGGUCCUACUGGAUCGCUUGGGACGUGGGUGGAAAAACAAACAUGAACGACACAAAAAAUAAAGCUGUUGCCGUCCUGAAUACUCUGCGAGUGACUGAGGCUCGGGGUCCCGGGGCUCUGUCUUGGGGUCCCCUCACGUCCUCCGUGCCGCCCGUGUCUCUCUGUGAGUGUCUGUGGCCAUGCCCGCCCCCCUCCACCCCCGGCAGCAGCAUGCGGCCACACGGCGUACCCGGCCGCCACGAGAC